CCUCUUCUCAGUGUUUGAGAUCCCUCAUCUUGCUCCGACUGUUGCAGCCUUUUCUCGCCAUGACAGACUGCCAUACUACAUGGCCUUCUCCCAUCGAAAGGGUCUAGCAUGUGGACCACUGAACUGCCAAGGAAGCAGUCCAACUGCCCUGAGGCUGCCAUGCUGUGAGGAAACCCAAAGUGGUCCAUAAAGAAGGAUUAUGUGGAGGGACCCUGAAAGAUGCCUGGCCUGCCUCCCACUGCUCCAGUACCCUCCUCCCCAACUCUUCCAGCUUCAGCCACUGUCUGCAACCACAUGAGAGCUCCCGAGCCAUAAAUGCCCAGCCUAGUCUCCC
This 334-nucleotide long non-coding RNA is filed under the name Homo sapiens (human). The record is from RNAcentral. Lineage: Eukaryota; Metazoa; Chordata; Mammalia; Primates; Hominidae.